CCUACGGGAGGCAGCAGUGGGGAAUAUUGGACAAUGGGCGAAAGCCUGAUCCAGCAAUGCCGCGUGAGUGAUGAAGGCCUUAGGGUUGUAAAGCUCUUUUACCAGGGAUGAUAAUGACAGUACCUGGAGAAUAAGCUCCGGCUAACUCCGUGCCAGCAGCCGCGGUAAUACGGAGGGAGCUAGCGUUGUUCGGAAUUACUGGGCGUAAAGAGUACGUAGGCGGUUAUUCAAGUCAGAGGUGAAAGCCCGGGGCUCAACCCCGGAACUGCCUUUGAAACUAGAUAGCUAGAAUCUUGGAGAGGUCAGUGGAAUUCCGAGUGUAGAGGUGAAAUUCGUAGAUAUUCGGAAGAACACCAGUGGCGAAGGCGACUGACUGGACAAGUAUUGACGCUGAGGUACGAAAGCGUGGGGAGCAAACAGGAUUAGAUACCCUGGUAGUCCACGCCGUAAACGAUGAUAACUAGUUGUUCGGGCACUUGGUGCCUGAGUGACGCAGCUAACGCAUUAAGUUAUCCGCCUGGGGAGUACGGUCGCAAGAUUAAAACUUAAAUGAAUUGACGG
RNAcentral lists this ribosomal RNA (561 nucleotides) under uncultured bacterium. Its description in RNAcentral is "bacterial SSU rRNA". It matches the Rfam family "Bacterial small subunit ribosomal RNA", at positions 338 to 916 of the family's 1533-position model. The record is from RNAcentral.